This 274-nucleotide ribosomal RNA is filed under the name uncultured bacterium. Its description in RNAcentral is "partial 16S ribosomal RNA". It matches the Rfam family "Bacterial small subunit ribosomal RNA", at positions 523 to 796 of the family's 1533-position model. The record is from RNAcentral.
AUACGGAGGGUGCAAGCGUUAAUCGGAAUUACUGGGCGUAAAGCGCUCGUAGGCGGCUUGUUAAGUCGGAUGUGAAAGCCCCGGGCUCAACCUGGGAACUGCAUUCGAUACUGGCAAGCUAGAGUAUAGUAGAGGCAAGUGGAAUUCCGGGUGUAGCGGUGAAAUGCGUAGAUAUCCGGAGGAACAUCAGUGGCGAAGGCGACUUGCUGGACUAAUACUGACGCUGAGGAGCGAAAGCGUGGGGAGCAAACGGGAUUAGAAACCCUGGUAGUCC